GUUUCAAAAAGGAUGGUGUUUAUGGUGUUGUGAAGGAUGUCUUCCUUCCAUGGUAUAAUGCAUAUAGAUUUCUGGUUCAAAACGUGAAGCGACUUGAGGCUGAGAGUUCUGUAUCUUUCGUUCCAUUUGAUCAUAGUAGGCUUCAGGAGUCCUCUAAUGUUCUUGACAAAUGGAUCAACUCUGCUACGGAAAGUCUUGUUGACUUCGUUCGGAACGAGAUGAAUGAAUAUCGGUUGUACACGGUGGUGCCAUAUCUUUUAAAGUUUAUCGAUAGUCUAACAAAUAUAUAUGUACGGUUCAAUCGGAAGAGGC
This 312-nucleotide unclassified non-coding RNA is filed under the name Hevea brasiliensis (rubber tree). The record is from RNAcentral. Lineage: Eukaryota; Viridiplantae; Streptophyta; Magnoliopsida; Malpighiales; Euphorbiaceae.